RNAcentral lists this ribosomal RNA (376 nucleotides) under uncultured bacterium. RNAcentral's name for it is "bacterial SSU rRNA". It matches the Rfam family "Bacterial small subunit ribosomal RNA", at positions 524 to 898 of the family's 1533-position model. The record is from RNAcentral.
UACAGAGACUGCGAGCGUUAUUCGGAUUCACUGGGCGUAAAGGGUGCGCAGGCGGCCGUGUGUGUCAGGUGUGAAAUCUCGAGGCUUAACCUCGAAAUUGCGCCUGAAACUACACGGCUAGAGUACUGGAGAGGGAAACGGAAUUCACGGUGUAGCAGUGAAAUGCGUAGAUAUCGUGAGGAACACCAGAGGCGAAGGCGGUUUCCUGGACAGUUACUGACGCUCAGGCACGAAAGCGUGGGGAGCAAAAGGGAUUAGAUACCCCUGUAGUCCACGCCCUAAACGGUGCACACUAGGUCUUGGCGGAUUCGACCCCACCAGGGCCCAAGCUAACGCGUUAAGUGUGCCGCCUGAGGACUACGGCCGCAAGGCUAAA